AUGGAGAAGGUCUUCUGGUCUCAGUAUGCUGAGGCCGAACAUCCGGUGCCCCUUAGCGACCAGCUGAAGCAGCUGGUCGAGCUCCACAAGGCGGCCGAACAGGCCAUGAAGGGCCUCAUAGUUCGGCUGUGGCCUAAGGAGGCUAUACCUGGGAGCUACUUCGGCCUGGUGCGGCGGCUGGUGGACGCAUGCCCGUGGGUUGAAGUUAUCAAGCACUCCGCCUGUAUCAAGGGUGCGCGUCGGGCCCUUGCCCGCGCAAAGGUGCACUGGGGCAAGAUGGAUGCCCAGAAGCUUGUGACGGAACCACCACCAGAGGGCAAGGAGCAUCGCACGCCCGAGAUGUAUUAUAGGAGUGUGCUGAAGGGCGCCCGCAUUAUUGCGGGUGAGUGCUCCAAAGAAGAAGUUUUUGAGUAG
RNAcentral lists this ribosomal RNA (414 nucleotides) under Triticum aestivum (bread wheat). Its description in RNAcentral is "partial small subunit ribosomal RNA". The record is from RNAcentral. Lineage: Eukaryota; Viridiplantae; Streptophyta; Magnoliopsida; Poales; Poaceae.